Molecule: ribosomal RNA, 856 nt
Filed under: uncultured bacterium
Lineage: Bacteria
Description: bacterial SSU rRNA
Rfam family: Bacterial small subunit ribosomal RNA
Source: RNAcentral
CAUGCAGUUCGAACGGCAGCACGGGUGCUUGCACCUGGUGGCGAGUGGCGAACGCCUGAGUAAUGUAUCGGAACGUAUCCAAUAAUGGGGGAUAACUAAUCGAAAGGUUGGCUAAUACCGCAUACGCCCUACGGGGGAAAGCAGGGGAUCUUCGGACCUUGCGUUAAUGGAGCGGCCGAUAUCUGAUUAGCUAGUUGGUGAGGUAAAGGCUCACCAAGGCGACGAUCAGUAGCUGGUCUGAGAGGACGACCAGCCACACUGGAACUGAGACACGGUCCAGACUCCUACGGGAGGCAGCAGUGGGGAAUUUUGGACAAUGGGGGCAACCCUGAUCCAGCCAUUCCGCGUGAGUGAAGAAGGCCUUCGGGUUGUAAAGCUCUUUCGCAAGGGAAGAAACGAUACAGUCUAAUAAACUGUGUUAAUGACGGUACCUUGAUAAGAAGCACCGGCUAACUACGUGCCAGCAGCCGCGGUAAUACGUAGGGUGCGAGCGUUAAUCGGAAUUACUGGGCGUAAAGCGUGCGCAGGCGGUUUUGAAAGUCAGAUGUGAAAUCCCCGGGCUCAACCUGGGAACUGCGUUUGAAACUCCAAAGCUAGAGUAUGGGAGAGGGGGGUAGAAUUCCACGUGUAGCAGUGAAAUGCGUAGAGAUGUGGAGGAAUACCAAUGGCGAAGGCAGCCCCCUGGCUUAAUACUGACGCUCAUGCACGAAAGCGUGGGGAGCAAACAGGAUUAGAUACCCCGGUAGUCCACGCCCUAAACGAUGUCUACUAGUUGUUGGGAGAGUAAAAUCUCUUAGUAACGCAGCUAACGCGUGAAGUAGACCGCCUGGGGAGUACGGUCGCAAGAUUAAAACUC